UCUUUGGUCGUUUAGCAACGUUAUUUUGGAUUAAUAUAACUGUUAAACGCCUAAGGU
RNAcentral lists this microRNA precursor (57 nucleotides) under Panagrellus redivivus. Its description in RNAcentral is "microRNA prd-mir-7868 precursor". The record is from miRBase by way of RNAcentral. Lineage: Eukaryota; Metazoa; Nematoda; Chromadorea; Rhabditida; Panagrolaimidae.